Molecule: unclassified non-coding RNA, 330 nt
Filed under: soil metagenome
Description: partial contains 5.8S ribosomal RNA, internal transcribed spacer 2, and large subunit ribosomal RNA
Rfam family: 5.8S ribosomal RNA (bases 1-120)
Source: RNAcentral
GAUGAAGAACGUAGCAAAAUGCGAUAAGUAAUGUGAAUUGCAGAAUUCAGUGAAUCAUCGAAUCUUUGAACGCACAUUGCGCCCCCUGGUAUUCCGGGGGGCAUGCCUGUUCGAGCGUCAUUUCACCACUCAAGCCUCGCUUGGUAUUGGGCAACGCGGUCCGCCGCGUGCCUCAAAUCGACCGGCUGGGUCUUCUGUCCCCUAAGCGUUGUGGAAACUUUCGCUAAAGGGUGUUCGGGAGGCUACGCCGUAAAACAACCCCAUUUCUAAGGUUGACCUCGGAUCAGGUAGGGAUACCCGCUGAACUUAAGCAUAUCAAUAAGCGGAGGA